RNAcentral lists this long non-coding RNA (2066 nucleotides) under Paramuricea clavata. The record is from RNAcentral. Lineage: Eukaryota; Metazoa; Cnidaria; Anthozoa; Malacalcyonacea; Plexauridae.
CCCAGUGUUCCUGGGCCCUAGCUUUCGUGUUCUUCCCCCGCAAAAAUUAUCAAAUGCCGGCCAACAGUCUAGGGUUGUAGGCCAUCAAAAGAUUAUAUCUAUAACAAGACAUUAUUUACACUAUGGCCCUGGAAAGGUUAAGAAGUUUGUUACAGGCACAAGUGCCAUAUUUACAAAUGUUAAUGUAAACAUUAUUCUGGCCAGAUCAAGUUUUGUUUGAAAACAAGCAUUAGAAAUUUCUUAUAUUACCCCAAACAAUUUUUGGUUUGUGAAUUGAAUAUUUUUACUUUAAUAAAAAACAUCUUAGGUUUUAAGAAUUCUGCAUGAUAUCAGAACUAAAAUUCACUCUAUAUUUAUUGAUACAUUAAAAAAAAACAACAAACAAAUUAUAGAGGCAAAACAUCCAGGAAAGGUCAAAAUUUUUUUGAAAACAAGCCAGAAAAAAAAUUAAACAAGUCCAAACCUCAGUUUAUGAAUAAAACGCUUUGAUCUUUACAAACAAUCUAACGACUUAAAAUUGUUGAUAUUUUAAUUGCAAAUGGUUUUCAUUUUUUUCAUGAUCCUUAAAAAAAUAUACGCAAAUUCAUUUAAAUUUGAUAGCAAAAACCCCCAAUAGAUUUUGGUUAACCUUUGUGUGAAUAAAAAGUUUUGCAAAUUACGGUUGGCUGUUGCAUAAUAGUUUCAGCCACAAAUUAAAAAAACUUGUUUCGUAAAUAUAAAACAAUGCCGUUCAUUUGCCAAAACCUCUGCCACUUUUGGGGUUUUCGAAUGCAAUCUAAUGACUUUACACCGUGGAAAAAUGCCAUUUCUGAUCGAUUUCACACGCGUUCCCAGAACACCUAAUUGCCCACGUUCUAAUUCGCUUGGAACGUUCGAAUUGCAGUUUCGAACGUUCGAAUUCUCGUUUAGAACGUUGCAAAAAAAUUCCGAGUUUUUAAACCGUGAAACACCGCGCAAUAUUAAUGCGGCAAAAAUAUAUGAAAAACUAAUUGCCUUAAUGAAAUUCAGCCGUUGUGAUAUAGUCUGGCUAGCCGGCGAUCUUUCGUUGCAAAAUGCAAAGGGUAUCGCAUUGACUUUCAGGCCAUAAAUGGUCUAUCUAUCUGCUUGUUCGAUUUCGCUUCGAACGCUGCGAAAAAUAACAAUUAACGCUCGAAAGAAUGCUGCGAGUUAUUCUAAUGAAUUUCAAUGGCUUUCUGUGUGAAAUCGACAAGCGAAAAGCGAAAUAAUUGCAACAAAGCCUUAAUGAAUGCAAUGCUAUGGUGAUUAAUAGCGAAUGCAAGGUCAUUUCGGAUUCGUAAUGCGUCUAAUGAAUCAAAGCGCUGUUUUGCAAAGCUUUAUUUACUGUGUGCAAACGAAAUCUCGCUUUUUCGCUGCGCUGGACCUCAGAACGAUCGAUUAAAAACGACAAUAUAAGUUGCGAGCCACGGAAGUUCCAUAUUUAAUUGCGUAUUAAUAUUAAGUAUCGUCGAUUUGCUAUUUUCCGUGCAAUUGCACGGCAUUUAAAGACCAAAACUCGCGGUUUUAAAAAAUUUCAUGUCCGCCAGGGAAAAGCCAUUUGAGUGCAAACUAAAAAUCGUUCUAAAAUAUUCUGCAAUAUAAUUUGCAACAUUCGCACGCCAUCUGCAAGCGAACGGCGUUUUUAUAUUAACGCGUAUAUAAAAUUGAAAAAUUUCCAUCAAAGCCUCAGAUAUGCAGGUGAUAUUAACAAUAAAAUUGCAAAUGAGUUAUGUACAACAGCGCUUUGGAGAAAAUAAGAUAUAUAAAACACAAAAAUUGCAUUUUAUGCCCGUGUGUUCCACAUUCCGAAAUUGCGACAAAUGAAUGUCUCUGAACUAAAGAAUGUAGCAAAUAUGAGGUCUAAUUGAUGUUUUGGUCUGUUGCAUACGAUAAAAAUACAGGAUUUUUAGAAAAUACUUUGAUUUAAGAGUAUGUUUGAUCAAGCUGAAAUCGGGCAAACUGUUCAUAGUGUAUUUAUUUAGGUUUUUACAUAAAAUCGCGUGCACAAUUCCACGUCAAAAAUUUUUUUUUCACUUGAUUCGCAUCGAUUCGCAAUCCGUGUCAAAUUU